Molecule: ribosomal RNA, 486 nt
Filed under: uncultured bacterium
Lineage: Bacteria
Description: bacterial SSU rRNA
Rfam family: Bacterial small subunit ribosomal RNA
Source: RNAcentral
GAUGAACGCUAGCUACAGGCUUAACACAUGCAAGUCGAGGGGCAGCACUAGGUAGCAAUACUGAGGUGGCGACCGGCGCACGGGUGCGUAACGCGUAUCCAACCUUCCCGUUACUCUUGGAUAGCCUUCCGAAAGGGGAGAUUAAUACAAGAUGGUAUUCAAAUUCCGCAUGUUAUUUGAAUUAAAGAUUAAUCGGUAACGGAUGGGGAUGCGUGACAUUAGGUAGAUGGCGGGGUAACGGCCCACCAUGCCUACGAUCAGUAGGGGUUCUGAGAGGAAGGUCCCCCACACUGGAACUGAGACACGGUCCAGACUCCUACGGGAGGCAGCAGUGAGGAAUAUUGGUCAAUGGGCGCGAGCCUGAACCAGCCAAGUAGCGUGCAGGAUGACGGCCCUAUGGGUUGUAAACUGCUUUUANGCGGGAAUAAGAUCAGAUACGUGUAUCUGCGUGCAUGUACCGCAUGAAUAGGACCGGCUAAUUCCGUG